GUCGGGAAUCUUCCGCAAUGGGCGAAAGCCUGACGGAGCGACGCCGCGUGAGUGAUGAAGGCCUUCGGGUUGUAAAGCUCUGUGGGGAGGGAAGAAUAAGUUCAAGCGAAUACCUUGAAUGAUGACGGUACCUCCUUAGCAAGCACCGGCUAACUCUGUGCCAGCAGCCGCGGCAAGACAGAGGGUGCAAACGUUGUUCGGAUUUACUGGGCGUAAAGCGCGUGUAGGCGGCUUUGCAAGUCGGAUGUGAAAGCCCACGGCUCAACCGUGGAAGUGCAUCCGAAACUGCAUGGCUGGAGUCUCGGAGAGGAAGGUGGAAUGCUUGGUGUAGAGGUGAAAUUCGUAGAUAUCAAGCAGAACACCUGCGGCGAAGGCGGCCUUCUGGACGAUGACUGACGCUGAGACGCGAAAGCGUGGGGAGCAAA
Molecule: ribosomal RNA, 425 nt
Filed under: uncultured bacterium
Lineage: Bacteria
Description: bacterial SSU rRNA
Rfam family: Bacterial small subunit ribosomal RNA
Source: RNAcentral